GACAGAGGGUGCAAACGUUGUUCGGAAUUACUGGGCGUAAAGCGCGUGUAGGCGGCCCUGCAAGUCGGAUGUGAAAUCCCACGGCUCAACCGUGGAAGUGCAUUCGAAACUGCAGGGCUAGAGUCCUGGAGAGGAAGGUGGAAUGCUUGGUGUAGAGGUGAAAUUCGUAGAUAUCGGAAGGAACAUCAGUGGCGAAGGCGACUUCCUGGACCAAUACUGACGCUGAGGCACGAAAGCGUGGGGAGCAAACAGG
RNAcentral lists this ribosomal RNA (253 nucleotides) under uncultured bacterium. Its description in RNAcentral is "partial 16S ribosomal RNA". It matches the Rfam family "Bacterial small subunit ribosomal RNA", at positions 524 to 776 of the family's 1533-position model. The record is from RNAcentral.